RNAcentral lists this ribosomal RNA (373 nucleotides) under uncultured bacterium. RNAcentral describes it as "bacterial SSU rRNA". It matches the Rfam family "Bacterial small subunit ribosomal RNA", at positions 30 to 404 of the family's 1533-position model. The record is from RNAcentral.
AUUGAACGCUGGCGGCAUGCCUUACACAUGCAAGUCGAACGGCAGCACGGGAGCAAUCCUGGUGGCGAGUGGCGAACGGGUGAGUAAUAUAUCGGAACGUGCCCAGUGAUGGGGGAUAGCCCGGCGAAAGCCGGAUUAAUACCGCAUACGACCUACGGGUGAAAGCAGGGGAUCGCAAGACCUUGCGUCAUUGGAGCGGCCGAUAUCAGAUUAGCUGUUGGUGGGGUAAAAGCCUACCAAGGCGACGAUCUGUAGCUGGUCUGAGAGGACGACCAGCCACACUGGGACUGAGACACGGCCCAGACUCCUACAGGAGGCAGCAGUGGGGAAUUUUGGACAAUGGGCGCAAGCCUGAUCCAGCCAUGCCGCGUGC